Alexandromys fortis (reed vole) is the source of this 3411-nucleotide long non-coding RNA. RefSeq lists it as uncharacterized. The transcript has 3 exons. The record is from RefSeq and is a predicted model, not a curated record. Lineage: Eukaryota; Metazoa; Chordata; Mammalia; Rodentia; Cricetidae.
UCCCACCCCGCGCGCCGCCAGCUCUCUGCUGCCUCGGAGCUGGGCUAGCGCCCUGCGCAACCCUCGGUCCGACGGUGACCAGGGCCCCAGACGCGGUACACUCCAGGACCCGUUCUCCCUCCCGGCCUAGUGGCACAUUCCGACAUCCACGCACCGCCCUGGGUGGUUUUUUUCCUCCUUCUUCCUACUAGGCUAUUUUGUGUAUAAUUGAACCAUGAGAAAAUCGUUGGCUCCCCCUUGACUGCCAAGGACUGCACAGAGAAUUUCUGUUGUUUGCUCUGGGGACCAGGCUCUCAGGCUAGCCCAGAUCUCCUGGCCUGCUGGGUCAUCAGGCCUGCCUGUUUUUCUGAUACUGCCGUUUUGAGAAAGACUUCAAUGAACAGGGCUGACUAUGGUGUGAGACCAUGGCUUGAAUCCCCGGAGCUUCUCAGAGCAUCAGGACAGAAGGACCUUAGAGACAGAAAAACUUCAACGUCCUCAUGGCUAUCUUGGCAAUACUGAACUUACUUUAUCACUAAGAGGAACCCAUAGGAAGAUGAUUGCAUGCCCCUCCCUGUUUCAUUUUAAUAUUGAACCGAAUAAAUUUCACAGUGGAAUAAGAUAACAUUUGUAUCCCUGUACCUCCAAAUCGUGAGUCCUAGAUGUAGGUAGGCACUGCAAUCCACAAGCCACCUACAGAAAGUCAGCAAAAGACACCAAGCUAUGUGUGUAGACAGAAGAGGGCUUUCUCACGAAAGCCAGAAUACUGUCAUUUGAAGAACGCACUAUGUCUUACAAAAAGGCCACAGGGUGUUACUCAGGCAAGUCAUCCUGACUGGAGGCUGUCACCAGACAGAAGCUAAAGAUUCGGUUUUGAAGCUAGAAGAGAGUCAGUUCUCCUGAGAAGCACAGAGACUUUUGUGAUCAUGUACUCCAAUCACAGUGUUUUGAGAAUUUCAAAAAAAAGAGUCUAAGAAGAGCCAGUGAGUGACCCAUACUUUUGAAGGGAUGACCAAACUGAAUAUAAAUAUUCUGCCCUUCCCAGUAGAAGCCCUGGCGUUAUUUGGCUUUGACUCUUAAAAGAUAUUAUCUGAACAAGAUAUUAGACCGCGCCCCCCCACCUUUCGUCAUCACUGGCUAAGUUUGCUUCACAACACACUCCCACCAUGAUGUUGGGUCUCAUCAGCCAAAGAAGCAAUGGGGUGAGGAGACCAGCAGCUGUGAGCAGAAAUAGACCUUUCCUCUUCACAAGCUGUUUGUCUGAGGUAUUUUGUUACAGUGAUGGAAGCUAACUAACACCAAGAGGAUUUUAUUCUUUUAUGAUAUUCCCCAAGGCAAAAGGAAAUGGAUACUCUAGGUCCCUAAAGAAAGGUUAACAUAAACCUCAUAUAUAACAUUCGGGCAGAAUUUCCUCAUUUAGAUAAGGGUGAAAGGCACUGUGUUGCCGGGUAACCACAGGUGUUUGACCACUUCCUGCAGUUAGCUCAAUCAAAGGUCUAAUGUCUGGGGAGACCUGAGCACUGCCUUUGCCAGAUUAAGGGCUCAGCUUUUAGUUGUAAUUUAGAUGAGUCAGCUUGUUAUCUAAAGCCAUCUCGCUGGGGCAGGGCUAUAAGACUGUGUUAAGGCACUUGGACAGUGAUCCAAGGUCCUGAUUGGAUCACCAGCACCACACUCAGGAAAAAAUAAACUAAGGCAGAGGAUAAAAGAAAGAAAGACACAUUAUGACAUUAUGGGAAAACUCAGAUUUCCAAGUUUGAGUGGGAAUGAGGAUUCAAUAAUAACAUAGACAAUGAAUAUAAAUCCUGUUUGUUUUUAAAAGAUUCUUGUGAAAGAAUGUGAACAGUAGUAUAUUAGUGACUAGAAGAUGACCUUCUCUCAUUGCCAAGAACAGAGCUCAGUCAUUUAAUUUUGUUCACGCGGUGGGAAAGUCCAUUGCGGAAGGUUUAACGUGUAUGUGUGCAGUGCGCACUGGCUUCCCAGGGCAUCAUAGGGAUGAUGUGUUAACCACAGCCAGUCAGUAGAAUUUCCUGAACAAUGAAAACACUACCAUGUGUGCUGUUAAACACAGUACAAGAAACUAAAAUUUUAAUUUCAGUAGCAUUGUUGACGAAUGACUCCUUUGUUGGGCAAUAUAGGAACUGGUUCGUGUAUGUUGUCGUCCCUAGAUUUCAAAGAAAGCAAGUUCACUUUACUUGCCUGGAGAAGCCAGGAUUGGUGAGCUAUGGUUUCAUUAGCAUGGAACAAAACCUAGCCAUGGCAGGUGACAAAUGCCCCUAAGUUAGAUCAUUAGAUUAUUUCCACUUUGCAAAAUGAAAAAACUGAGGUCCUGUGCCUUGUUCUCUCAGCCAUUACAGGAGCCAAAGCAACUGAAGUAUUUAAUUCUCUUCUCAGGCUCACACUCCUUGCUCUCUCCGUGACUUUUCUCUUCUCUCGGAUGAUGGCGUGUGGGGAGAGAGGGCCAGUAAGAUGGCUCAGUAGGUGAAAGCUUGCUGGUCAAGACUGUUGACCUGAGUUCGACUUACAGAACCCAUAUAAAGACAGAAGGGGAAGCCAGCUCCACAAAGUUGUGCUUUGACGGCCAUACAUCUGCUGUGGUACACACACCUUUUACACGAAUCACACACACACUCUAUUAAAUAUAUAAAUCACACAGCUGCUCAAUUCGGGAGCCACUGCAAACGAGGGGCAGAAAGACUGUGAGACUCCUAGAAAUGUCAGAGAAGCUACACUCGUGAAGUCUCACAAACAUGGCUGGUUAAACACGGCCUGAGCAGUGAGGACACACCAAUAGACUUGCUAACAUGGAAGGGGGGGGGGAGCUCAUGAAGCCUCAACCCGAGAAAGAACUUCGGGCAACUGAGGCAUGCUGGGAGUGGGAGGAAGUCUUUCCCAGGGAAAGCUUAUCAAUUGACCGUCCAGUACCAAGUGGUCAGCUCGAAAACCAUGGACACACAGCAACACUGUGUGGGCUCACCAACAGGAGACUUUUUUUAAAAGUAAGAAUGUCUGUCUUGGAUAGAUGGUAGAAUACUUACCUACUGUGUUUGAAGCCCUAGGUUCCACUCCCAGGAGUUACAAAAAAGUAUGAUAUUUCUAAGUUUAUAUAGAAAAUUUCCCACAAGUUCCUUGUGUCUUUUCCUCCAAGUGGGAAAGGAUCCUUAGUUGAUUAACCCUGAUCCUGAAAUGAUGACAUUACUGUUUUGUCUAGGAAAGCUUCAGUUGAAUGCCACACUUAUACUAUAUUACUAUACUUGAAAAACAAAGAGUCAGAUAUCCAAGAGUCUACAAAGAAUGGAUCUGUCUCUACCUCAAACGUAUUUCUGGAAGAACUAGAUGUAUCAACUUUAUGUUACAUGCUUUAUUGAAUUUUCUGGAUUUUUUUCUGAAACCCGUCCUGCUUCAGCCUGUUUAAGUGAAAGGCAACUUUGAAGU